This 400-nucleotide unclassified non-coding RNA is filed under the name fungal sp. RNAcentral's name for it is "partial internal transcribed spacer region". The stretch from base 1 to 46 matches the Rfam family "Eukaryotic small subunit ribosomal RNA", at positions 1786 to 1831 of the family's 1831-position model. The record is from RNAcentral. Lineage: Eukaryota; Fungi.
AAGUCGUAACAAGGUAACCGUAGGUGAACCUGCGGUUGGAUCAUUAAUAAUUCAAGAGGUACUUUACUGUAUCUUUUUGGCUCGCACUUUCUGUCGUCUGUGCUGGCGUCUUACCCUGUCCCUUUGUCAUUUAUAUGACUUUGAGAUGGUUACUGCGUCGGGACUUACUUGAUGGGAGGUGCUUGCUGAUAAAACACACUGUGCACUGUAACUGUAUUUUGGGAAGGUUAUCGGCAGCUACCCCAGAUUGGCACACUGUGUCAUAGAGAUUGGUAGCAUGUCUUACGACUUUCCCUGCCCAAACCCUAAACCCAAACCAACGUAUUUAAACAUCAUAUGACUUAUACUUUAUUUUUUUAACAAAAUAAUACAACUUUUGACAACGGAUCUCUUGGCUCUC